This is a non-coding RNA of Brachypodium distachyon (stiff brome), 136 nucleotides long. Lineage: Eukaryota; Viridiplantae; Streptophyta; Magnoliopsida; Poales; Poaceae. The record is from Rfam.
UUAGUACUCCCUCGGUCCAACAAAGGAUGUCUCAACUUUGACUAAAUUUGAAUGUAUUUAUAUACUAAGUCAUGUCUAAAUACAUUCAAAUUUUGACAAACUUGAGACAUCUUUUAUUGGACGGAGGAAGUAUGUG